UAAAAUUUAUGAAAUGUUAGCUGGGGCGCGAUAGGGGAUUCAUAGUGACGUCAUGAAAAAUAAUUGUAUGAACACUGAUGAAUAUACAAUAUAAACACAGACAGAAGAUAACGAUCGCACACCUGCGAAGCUCCACUCGUUGGCUUCACCAAAACUAUAUAUUGGUACCAUUCUGGUGUUAACAUCAGUUCUCGAGAAGGCAGUACAGACAGUAAGAGCUUUUAUAUUCUAUAACAGAAAUGUCUGACGAACCAGUUCAGCAAGCAGAGAUGACAGAGGAGGAACCAAAAGCUGAAGAGGCGAGUGACAGCGAAAACGCAACUGAACCUGCAAAUCCGAUAUUAACUAGUGUCGUCGUUACACCCCCAAAUUGUCCAAAAGGAACCAAGAGGGAUGUCGACGGUGUGUGUCGACGCGUUUGGUGAUUUUACCAUUUAAAUCCCCGUUAAAGUCGCUCAAUAGACGCUGAAUCUAAUUAUCUCACUAUCUAGGAUAAUAUUCCUUUGUUUAGAUUCAUGUUUAUCGUCUAUGUUGUCUGAUAAUGUUUUAAUGUGUAAAUUUUAUUCGAAUAUUGUCCUUUCUCAAUUGAUUGUAUUACAUUUAUUUAUAAUUUUGAAAUUUUGUUUCGAAUUGUGUUUGGUAAAAAUAACGAUUUAUGUUUAUAAUUGAUAUUUAUGUUAACUGCUGAAACUGAUCUUAAAUA
Pieris rapae (cabbage white) is the source of this 703-nucleotide long non-coding RNA. RefSeq lists it as uncharacterized. The record is from RefSeq and is a predicted model, not a curated record. Lineage: Eukaryota; Metazoa; Arthropoda; Insecta; Lepidoptera; Pieridae. The transcript is spliced from 3 exons.